This is a non-coding RNA of Arachis ipaensis, 756 nucleotides long. The record is from RefSeq and is a predicted model, not a curated record. Lineage: Eukaryota; Viridiplantae; Streptophyta; Magnoliopsida; Fabales; Fabaceae.
UUGUGGGGUUUCACUAAUUUCAAAUUCUUUUAAUUUAGACUAAAAUGAAUGACUCUCCACUUAUAUAUACAGUAGUAGAUAUCUCAACUCUUGGACUUGCAAGCAAAAAAGAUAUCAAGAAUAAGAAAUUCACGCUAACUUGUUAGAAAAUAGAAAGAUGGCCAAGUUAUCUUUGGGAAACAUUUUCUUACUCUCGCUUCUGGUUUCAUCAGUUAUGUGGAUAAGUUCAGACGGUGCUACUAGUAGUAGUCAGUUCAUUACUGAAGACACUACUUUAUGCCGAGAUGAUUUUAUGUUUGACCAAGAUUGCAAAAACGACUACCCUAAUCGAUGUGUCGGGAAAUGCUUUGCGAAAUAUAAUAGCAAGUUGAUUCUUGCAGAUUGCAUGAGAAAAUAUGCGGUAUCACAUGUUUGUAGAUGCACGUAUUUCUGUAGAGAAAAACCUUCCUUUUUUCGAAACUUAAUAAAGGGAAAAGGAAAAGGAAAACCUGAACAUAAUUAAUAAUAAUACAAGAGGUUGGAAUUCAAUAUAUAAUACAUAAGACUAGUUUAAAAUCAAAACAUAGUCAAAGUUACUAAUCAAUAAAGAAGUUCCGAUCGUUUGCAGUUUAAAAUGAAAAAGGAGGAGGAUUUUGAAGAUUAUUAGAUAUUAGAUAUUUUAUAUUAUUUUCAGAAUGUGUUUGUAAUGAAAAUAUCUCUAUGUAUAGAGGUUGGAAUGAAUUAUUAUCGCAAUAAAAUGAGUUAAUUAGUCCAAUA